RNAcentral lists this ribosomal RNA (495 nucleotides) under uncultured bacterium. Its description in RNAcentral is "partial 16S ribosomal RNA". It matches the Rfam family "Bacterial small subunit ribosomal RNA", at positions 28 to 507 of the family's 1533-position model. The record is from RNAcentral.
GACGAACGCUGGCGGCGUGCCUAAUACAUGCCAGUAGAACGCUGAAGGAGGAGCUUGCUUCUCUGGAUGAGUUGCGAACGGGUGAGUAACGCGUAGGUAACCUGCCUGGUAGCGGGGGAUAACUAUUGGAAACGAUAGCUAAUACCGCAUAAUAGCAGUUGUUGCAUGACAACUGUUUGAAAGGUGCAAUUGCACCACUACCAGAUGGACCUGCGUUGUAUUAGCUAGUUGGUGGGGUAACGGCUCACCAAGGCGACGAUACAUAGCCGACCUGAGAGGGUGAUCGGCCACACUGGGACUGAGACACGGCCCAGACUCCUACGGGAGGCAGCAGUAGGGAAUCUUCGGCAAUGGACGGAAGUCUGACCGAGCAACGCCGCGUGAGUGAAGAAGGUUUUCGGAUCGUAAAGCUCUGUUGUAAGAGAAGAACGAGUGCGAGAGUGGAAAGUUCACACUGUGACGGUAUCUUACCAGAAAGGGACGGCUAACUACGUG